UACGUAGGGUGCAAGCGUUAAUCGGAAUUACUGGGCGUAAAGCGUGCGCAGGCGGUUAUGUAAGACAGUUGUGAAAUCCCCGGGCUCAACCUGGGAACUGCAUCUGUGACUGCAUAGCUAGAGUGUGUCAGAGGGGGGUAGAAUUCCACGUGUAGCAGUGAAAUGCGUAGAGAUGUGGAGGAAUACCGAUGGCGAAGGCAGCCCCCUGGGAUAACACUGACGCUCAUGCACGAAAGCGUGGGGGAGCAAACAGG
This 254-nucleotide ribosomal RNA is filed under the name uncultured bacterium. Its description in RNAcentral is "partial 16S ribosomal RNA". It matches the Rfam family "Bacterial small subunit ribosomal RNA", at positions 524 to 776 of the family's 1533-position model. The record is from RNAcentral.